RNAcentral lists this transfer RNA (66 nucleotides) under Alistipes sp. RNAcentral's name for it is "tRNA-OTHER". Lineage: Bacteria; Pseudomonadati; Bacteroidota; Bacteroidia; Bacteroidales; Rikenellaceae. The record is from RNAcentral.
CCCCGUAUCGGCUAAUGGUAGGCCGCUCUUUACAGAGGUAUGUAGGUUCGACUCCUGCUGCGGGGC